UGAGGAAUAUUGCACAAUGGGCGAAAGCCUGAUGCAGCAACGCCGCGUGAGGGACGAGGGCCUUCGGGUCGUAACCUCUUUUCUGGGGGACGAGUAAGGACGGUACUCCAGGAAUAAGUCUCGGCUAACUACGUGCCAGCAGCCGCGGUAAAACGUAGGAGGCGAGCGUUAUCCGGAUUUACUGGGCGUAAAGCGUACGCAGGUGGCUUCGUUAGUCGGACAUGAAAGCUCCUGGCUUAACUGGGAGAGGUUGUUCGAUACUGCGGGGCUUGAGGUUGGGAGAGGGACGUGGAACUCCCGGUGUAGUGGUGGAAUGCGUAGAUAUCGGGAGGAACACCAGUGGCGCAAGCGGCGUCCUGGCCCACACCUGACGCUGAGGUACGAAAGCGUGGGUAGCAAACAG
Molecule: ribosomal RNA, 403 nt
Filed under: uncultured bacterium
Lineage: Bacteria
Description: bacterial SSU rRNA
Rfam family: Bacterial small subunit ribosomal RNA
Source: RNAcentral